UGCUGUGAACCAGGAGAUCAGUAGGGAUUUUAGGUAGAUCUCGCUCCUCAGCAAGGGGGAGUGCUUGCCCGGCAAGCAAGUACUCGAAAUGCUACCGGGGUGGUCGCUAUGUACAUAGCUAUAGCUUCCAGUCCGGGACGUUUGUCUGGGGUAUCCAGACUCAUGCACCAUGUUGAUACAUGCACCACUUGUGGGUGUUCAGGGUGUCGUGGUUGUAAUCCCUUCAGUGUGGAACACGCCACGUAAAACAAGUUCGGAGAGGUCCGAAAGUCACUGUCACUGUCCCUAUCUACUAUCUAGCGAAACCACAGCCAAGGGAACGGGCUUGGAAUAAUUAGCGGGGAAAGAAGACCCUUUUGAGCUUGACUCUAAUCUGGCAGUGUAAGGAGACAUAAGAGGUGUAGAAUAAGUGGGAGAUAUUAGACCUCGGUUUGGUAUCGUCAAUGAAAUACCACUACUCUUAUUGUUUCCUUACUUGAUUAAAUGGAACGUGUAUCAUUUCCUAGCCAUUAUACGGAUAUAUUUAUUAUAUCUUAUGGUAUUGGGUUUUGAUGCAAGCUUCUUGAUCAAAGUAUCACGAGUUUGUUAUAUAAUCGCAAACAAAUUCUUUAAUAAAACGAUGCAUUUAUGUAUUUUUGAUUUGAAAAUUUGGUAUAACUCCAAUUACUCAGGUAUGAUCCAAUUCAAGGACAUUGCCAGGUAGGGAGUUUGACUGGGGCGGUACAUCUCUCAAAUAAUAACGGAGGUGUCCCAAGGCCAGCUCAGUGCGGACAGAAACCACACAUAGAGCAAAAGGGCAAAUGCUGACUUGAUCUCGGUGUUCAGUACACACAGGGACAGCAAAAGCUCGGCCUAUCGAUCCUUUUGGUUUAAAGAGUUUUUAACAAGAGGUGUCAGAAAAGUUACCAUAGGGAUAACUGGCUUGUGGCGGCCAAGCGUUCAUAGCGACGUCGCUUUUUGAUCCUUCGAUGUCGGCUCUUCCUAUCAUUGUGAAGCAAAAUUCACCAAGCGUUGGAUUGUUCACCCAUGCAAGGGAACGUGAGCUGGGUUUAGACCGUCGUGAGACAGGUUAGUUUUACCCUACUAAUGACAAAACGUUGUUGCGACAGCAUUCCUGCGUAGUACGAGAGGAACCGCAGGUACGGACCAAUGGCACAAUACUUGUUCGAGCGAACAGUGGUAUGACGCUACGUCCGUUGGAUUAUGCCUGAACGCCUCUAAGGUCGUAUCCGUGCUGGACUGCAAUGAUAAAUAAGGGGCAAUUGCAUU
This 1269-nucleotide non-coding RNA is filed under the name Drosophila sechellia. Its description in RNAcentral is "Eukaryotic large subunit ribosomal RNA". It matches the Rfam family "Eukaryotic large subunit ribosomal RNA", at positions 2042 to 3181 of the family's 3401-position model. Lineage: Eukaryota; Metazoa; Arthropoda; Insecta; Diptera; Drosophilidae. The record is from Rfam by way of RNAcentral.